AGACCUGAAAUCGUAUGCCUACAAGCAGUUGGAGCUUGAAAUACAGCGAUGUAUGGAAAGUGACAGCGUGCCUAUUGAAAAAUGAGCCGGCGAGAUAUUGCAUGCAGCGAGGUUAAGGGAUGAAGUUCCGGAGCCGAAGCGAAAGCGAGUUCGAAGAGAGCGCGAAGUUGCCUGCAAUAAACCCGAAGCCUGACGAUCUAGCCAUGGGCAGGUUGAAGUGGGGGUGAAACCCCAUGGAGGACCGCACCAGUGCCUGUUGAAAAAGUCUUGGAUGACCUGUGGUUAGGAGUGAAAAGCUAAUCGAGUUAGGUAAUAGCUGGUUCUCCCCGAAAUGCAUUGAGGUGCAGCCUUGAUGGAUUCGUGUCGAGGGUAGAGCGACUGACAGCUCAAGCGGUCCUGGGGGAUUUGCGCGAGCCAUCAAACUCCGAAUAUCGACACGAGAAAGUCAGGAGUGAGACCGCGGGUGAUAAGGUUCGUGGUCGAAAGGGAAACAGCCCAGAUCAUCAGCUAAGGCCCCGAAGAGCAUGCUAAGUGUGACAAGGAUGUAGGGACCCGGAAACAGCCAGGAGGUUGGCUCAGAAGCAGCCAUCCUUUAAAGAGUGCGUAACAGCUCACUGGUCGAGGACCCCCGCGCCGAAAAUGUAGGGGGCUAAGCAUGCCGCCGAAGCUAUGGGAUGGAGAAAUCCAUCGGUAGGGGAGCGUAGUUAACGGGCCGAAGCAAUGCCGUAAGACAUUGUGGACCGUUAAGUAGUGAGAAUGCCGGCAUGAGUAACGACAUAUUUGCGAGAAUCAAAUACACCGGAAGACCAAGGAUUCCUGGGGAAGGUUGAUCCGCCCAGGGUAAGGCGGGACCUAAGUCAAGGCUGAAAAGCGUAGAUAAUGGACAGCAGGUCGAAAUUCCUGCCCCGCGAUAAGUUCGCUACGACCGAAGCAGCGACGCAGAAAGCUAGACAGGCCGGCUGAUGGAAUAGCCAGUCCAAGGAAGCAGGUUGGAGAGACAGUCAAGCACAUCUCUCCGUCAAGACCGAGAUCCGAGAGGGAGCCUCUUUCGAGGCGAAGCUGUUGAAGCUCUGCUGCCAGGAAAACCUGCUAGGGAGAACUUAUGGCGCCCGUACCCGAAACCGACACAGGUGGUCAAGCUGAGCAAGCUAAGGUGAGUGGAAUAACUCUCGUUAAGGAACUCUGCAAGUUAACUCCGUAACUUAGGGAGAAGGAGUGCUGCCCCCGUCAAUCGUAAGGUGAAGCGGGGAGCAGCCACAGAAACCAGGCUCAAGCGACUGUUUACCAAAAACACAGGACUCUGCAUAAGACGCAAGUCGAAGUAUAGAGUCUGACGCCUGCCCGGUGCUGGAAGGUUAAAUGGAAGAGUGAGCCGCAAGGCGCAGCUUAGAAAUGAAGCCCCAGUAAACGGCGGCCGUAACUAUAACGGUCCUAAGGUAGCGAAAUUCCUUGUCGGGUAAGUUCCGACCUGCACGAAUGGCGUAACGAUUUGAGCGCUGUCUCAACGAGAGAUCCAGUGAAAUUGUGGUACCGGUCAAGACGCCGGUUACCCGUGGUAGGACGGAAAGACCCCAUGGAGCUUUACUGUAGCCUGAUACUGAUAUUUGAAAUUUCAUGCACAGGAUAGGUGGGAGGCGAAGAAGAGAGAGCUUUGGCUUUCUUUGAGCCGACGUUGGGAUACCACCCUUGUGAUUUCGAAUGUCUAACUUUAGCGUCUGAAUCGACGAAGAGGACACAGUCAGGUGGGCAGUUUGACUGGGGCGGUCGCCUCCCAAAGAGUAACGGAGGCGCGCAAAGGUCAACUCAUGGCGAAUGGAAACCGCCAAGAGAGCGCAAGGGUAUAAGUUGGCUUAACUGCGAGAGAGACAUCUCGAGCAGAGACGAAAGUCGGUCCUAGUGAUCCGGCGGUGCUGAAUGGAAAGGCCGUCGCUCAACGGAUAAAAGCUACC
RNAcentral lists this ribosomal RNA (1949 nucleotides) under human gut metagenome. RNAcentral's name for it is "bacterial LSU rRNA". It matches the Rfam family "Bacterial large subunit ribosomal RNA", at positions 546 to 2467 of the family's 2925-position model. The record is from RNAcentral.